Molecule: ribosomal RNA, 253 nt
Filed under: uncultured bacterium
Lineage: Bacteria
Description: partial 16S ribosomal RNA
Rfam family: Bacterial small subunit ribosomal RNA
Source: RNAcentral
UACGUAGGGGGCAAGCGUUGUCCGGAUUUAUUGGGCGUAAAGAGCGUGUAGGCGGCUAGAUAGGUCCGUUGUGAAAACUCGAGGCUCAACCUCGAGACGCCGGUGGAAACCAUCUAGCUAGAGUCCGGAAGAGGAGAGUGGAAUUCCUGGUGUAGCGGUGAAAUGCGCAGAUAUCAGGAAGAACACCCGUGGCGAAGGCGGGUCUCUGGGACGGUACUGACGCUGAGACGCGAAAGCGUGGGGAGCGAACAGG